GACGAACGCUGGCGGCGUGCUUAACACAUGCAAGUCGAGCGGUAAGGCCCUUUCGGGGGUACACGAGCGGCGAACGGGUGAGUAACACGUGGGUGACCUGCCCUUAGCUCUGGGAUAAGCCUGGGAAACUGGGUCUAAUACCGGAUAUGACUCCAUGACGCAUGUUGUGGGGUGGAAAGCCUUGUGCGGCUAGGGAUGGGCCUGCGGCCUAUCAGCUUGUUGGUGGGGUGANGGCCUACCAAGGCGACGACGGGUAGCCGGCCUGAGAGGGGGACCGGCCACACUGGGACUGAGACACGGCCCAGACUCCUACGGGAGGCAGCAGUGGGGAAUCUUGCGCAAUGGGCGAAAGCCUGACGCAGCGACGCCGCGUGGGGA
Molecule: ribosomal RNA, 378 nt
Filed under: uncultured bacterium
Lineage: Bacteria
Description: bacterial SSU rRNA
Rfam family: Bacterial small subunit ribosomal RNA
Source: RNAcentral